Molecule: ribosomal RNA, 423 nt
Filed under: uncultured bacterium
Lineage: Bacteria
Description: bacterial SSU rRNA
Rfam family: Bacterial small subunit ribosomal RNA
Source: RNAcentral
UAAGGAAUAUUGGACAAUGGAGGCAACUCUGAUCCAGCCAUGCCGCGUGAAGGAAUAAGGCCCUAUGGGUUGUAAACUUCUUUUAGACGGGACAAAACCCCUUUACGUGUAAAGGGUUGAUGGUACUGUCAGAAUAAGCAUCGGCUAACUUCGUGCCAGCAGCCGCGGUAAUACGAAGGAUGCAAGCGUUAUCCGGAAUUAUUGGGUUUAAAGGGUGCGUAGGCGGACUAAUAAGUCAGUGGUGAAAGCCUGCAGCUUAACUGCAGAAUUGCCAUUGAUACUGUUAGUCUUGAGUACAGUUGAGGUAGGCGGAAUGUGUCAUGUAACGGUGAAAUGCUUAGAUAUGACACAGAACACCGAUUGCGAAGGCAGCUUGCUAAGCUGUAACUGACGCUGAGGCACGAAAGCGUGGGGAGCAAACAG